Long non-coding RNA from Scleropages formosus (Asian bonytongue), 7259 nucleotides. RefSeq lists it as uncharacterized. The transcript has 3 exons. The record is from RefSeq and is a predicted model, not a curated record. NCBI's taxonomy places the organism in Eukaryota, Metazoa, Chordata, Actinopteri, Osteoglossiformes, Osteoglossidae.
AAAAAAAAAAUCAAAAAAUGGUUUCAUAUGAAAGCGUGCGCAAACAUAAGAAUAGAUGGGAGUUUUCGGACUUGCAAAUGUUUCUUAAAGCCAGUUAGCUGUUUUUCUUAAUUUUCUGUACUCGUCUUUGGCUGAGAACAGCACAAUCCAACGACACGCGCUUGAAUUAAGGUGUCUUUCGAGAGAGGCAAUGGAUCAUUGUCUAAGUAACAGAAGGUUAUGCAAAAGUGACAAGACAACGAAAAAAUACUUCAUAUGGGAAUAAUUUGUGAAAUGUUCGGCUCUGGGUCGCACACAGUAUUAUCUUGCGCAUUAUAAGUCACGACUUGGACCUACGGAGAGAUGAUUAUGACACUCAUUUUAUCAUCUCUCAGGUGUGUGAGUGACCAUUACUAAAAAUACAGAGUCGCUUACAUACAUUUAAUACAACAUAUCUCGCGAAUGAUGAUUAUCAAGAUUCGUGCAAAUUCACAGAUAAGACUGUGAUGAAACCAGGGAUAAAAAUAGUAACAGGAAAGAGAGAGUUGGAUGUUUGACGAAAACCAGAGUGGUGCAGAUAGGAUGAGAAACGCCGCUGACGGAGUAUGUGCUGCCGCUCGUGCGGUGGACAGUUUCAGUUUCUCAUGUUUUGCAUAGCAACAACCCUCAGAGCCCCUCCCCCUGGCCACGUCCUGUAAGGGAUCCUCUGCUUUUACGGCACCCAGGAGAAAAACGAACACGAUCCUACAACCUCUGAAAAUGUGAGAAAUUUGCCGGCGCGCCUGUGAAAGCGAUUAAACCGCUUAGUUUAAACGCGUGCCACCUCAAAUUUUCUGUGUAUUCGCCACGUUGUCCGAACUAUCCGUUCUUUGAUGUGGAGGGGCCGAAACCCUGAAGUGGUUAAUGUUUUCGCCUCAGAAAGCAGUGAAGUCUGCACAGCAACAAGCGCCAUGAUUGCGUGGGACCGCGCGUCCCUGACGCUCGCGAGUGCGACUUUUAGUCCAAUUGCGUGUUUUCUCCACGCCCGCAUAAUCUGUCAUAAUCAUUUCCAAUUCACUGCGAGCGAAUUGUCAACGGCGAACAAGUCCGCGCGGAGAGUUUCAGCAGCCCGCGCGCACUUCGGCGGAACGCGCGAGAUGGGAAGUAAAAGUGCGGCAAGCUGCUGGUCGGCGCGCGGGGUGUCACACCAUCCGAACAGACAACAGAGAGAGACACACACUGUGGUCCUCAACGCGCUCGACAGUCCGGUCCGGUCCGGCACGGCACUCUGAGGGGCUGUUGUUGGCCACGGAGAAGCACCGUGACGUGGGUACUUAUCUCCUCAGUCCGCUUCGCCAACUUCUGUCUGUCGGCUCGUUUCACUAGUAACUCGGCGCGAGAAGAACACGGGGCUCCUCGGAGGCUCUCACCUGUCUCGCGCUCGGGAGGGGAGCACCCGUGUGGAUGGAGCGUCCGCCGCGGGAGCCAGCGCCGGGUGCGCGCAGCUAUGGACAAGCGCGGCAGAAGGAGCGAAGGACGGACCCCUGAUGUAGUUUUUUUAAUGUAAUCAUAAGUUGUGUGUCGCGGAUCUACAGCUCACAAUCAGUGUGCGUGUGUUGGUCCACGGCAGAAGAUCACGCGUGGGUCCCACGCUACGUUCCCUGAAGGUGCUUGGCGAGACGUGCCCGCGCACACCGACGAGAGGAGGAGAGGAGAGGAAGAGGAGGAAGGAGGGCGCCGGGAAGAGCGGCAGCGCGGAGAAGAGUAAAGACGAGACACGAUGAAGUCGACGGCGAUGCAGGCGAGAGAGCGCAGUGCUGGAGGAGCGGACGCGAGCCGCUGGGGACGCGCUUCUCCACGGAGGGAGGGAGAGAGGGAGGGAGGGAGGUGUUAAGGAUGCCUCGAAAUAACGGUUCGAAAAGAAAUCCGCGAGGGGUUCCCCCUUAAAAACGCACGAGUCACGAACCAGGAGGAGGGCAAACGGGAGAAAUGGACACUGAGCGGUCCGCGCCGUGUCCACUCGAUUCCGUGUCCCGGAGUCUCCAACACUUUUCGUCUUCCACACACAGCCCUGCUGUCAUUGGUCCCGACUUGCCUGCCAUCGGGUACAGUGCAGUGGAGAAGUGACCACUCUCUGUGUGUGUGUGUGUGUGUGUGUGUGUGUGUGUGUGUGUGUGUGUGUGAGAGAGAGAGAGAGAGAGAGAGAUAUCCUGCUGUCCGCAGCCCCGGUACCACCACUGUAGCCUGAAUUCAGUUACUCUUGUUAUACUGUACGGUGCCGAUCACUAGGGGGGCGGGUGUUUCGAACCUGCCUCGGUCUAAGCGGGCUGUUUUAAAUUAUUGCACGUCAGCAAAUUUGUGUUUGAAAGAAAUAAUUUUAUCCCAACGGACAAUCUCAACACGCCCCCCCCCCCCGCCCCUCACGGUACAUGUUAACUAUCUCAACACUGCUACUUUUAUGCUACUUUGUUUAGAGAUUCUAUUUGCCAUAUCUGUAAAACGAGUUGUUAAGUUAUAGAAAACGAGAAUUCAAUUAAAAUUCAUAAUUAAAAUGUUAUGUGACUGUAAAAUUGCACCACGUCAUGUUGAUAACGCAUUUUUCCCAAACAUUGGGACUGACACUGCGGGACGUACUUGGAAACUUAUCAAAACAGCCAUUAAAUGACGACACUUUCGAUUAGAAUAAUUAUUUAAUAUUCACAAUUUGCAGUUCUUAAGCUUUUGCACACAUGUUGUGGACGUGACCGGGGAAUUCUCAAGUCACAUUUGGCAGAGUUCCUCAUGUGAUCGAAUAAAAUUGUUGAAUUUGCAAUCACUCAAGUCACGGGGCCCACCUUCGAAUCCUGCGUGUGUGUAACACGGGUGUCCCACUUUCCGCGUGGGCCGUUAAGUAACAGCCUUGAUGUCCUCCUCCAGAGCAUGAGCCCCAUCGCUGAAUACGUAAACGUAUUCGUGGGGGGUGCAUUCAUUUAGUGACUCCAGCAGUCAUCGGCAGCACUGCCUGUGUGAGUCAGUCAUCGGAGGCCUCUGAUUCAGACCCACAAUAACAGUUCAAGGUGACUUAUUGCAUAACUGAGGGUGACACGAGAAUUCCACGCAACGCCAAAUCAUACGCGCACAUUUUUUUUCUGCCCGGAACGCCUUUAAGACAGACGUGCAAUUUAAAGGCUAGUUAACACGCAUCCUGAAAUCCGCAAGAAGAAUCACAGCCUGUGUGAAAUGUAAUUUUAGCGCACGUCGAGCCCAAUUUACGAGCCUCGCUCCUCUGCCGCAAUCUAAGAUACAGUUGUGUUCAAGUUAUCUGAUAUUCAUUCUUAGAUCCUAACUUAAUUUUUGUAAAUGUAUUCAUCAAAAUCCAAAUUAAGAAGGUGCCCAUAAAAUGAUUAAAAUCUGGUUUAUUUAAUAGACGCAUCAGUUGAAAUAAGAACGGGGGGUAUCGUUAAAUCAUUUUGCUCAUUUAGAAGUGAGGGCAUAAACCAGCUCCCAAAAUUUUCAUCUGAUACGUACAAGUCCCACGUCUCUCUCCCACGUGUGAAGGACAACCCCGAACGCGUCCCAACGACCACUACACGUCCUGUAUCCAACAAGCACAUUUCAAUACCCGCUAGAGCCUAUACCACUCAAAGUAUAUAUAUAGCCUACUGUUGCCAGGCAAAUCACCGAUGAAGUAACAAAUGCAUUUGUUCACAAUUCAGUGUCAAAAAUUAUUUAUAUUUAACUGCUAACGAAUUCAGUGAUAAUAAGCACAAUUCAAUUAUCUGAUCCACUAAACAGUAUUGUUUUUCAACGCAAUAUUAUUCAUAACCCAAAUAUUGUUUUGAAUCGCCACUGGUAGGAACGUGAGGGGGGAAAAAAAAAACAAACAAACACUAACAUGCUUCAUUUUUAAAUACAUACUUGCACACUGCAAAAGUGAGUCGAGACUAAUAGCGGGCAUGAUGAAAAAUUGCUUAGAAAGUAGAAAAAGCGCGCUCCGUUUAUGCGGCCUGUUGGUGAGAAACGAGCGCAAACGGAAUUUAAGAGAGAUUAACACGGCAGAUAAAAGCGCGGAAUGCCGCUUCAUGCGCUUCGCACGAGGCCGUCGUGACCCGUUAUGAACAUUUCACUCCAUUCUUCGUUUUAGGGAAGUUUAUCAUAUCUAAUAUUAAAUAAAGACACUUUGUUCCAAACUUUUCCCGAUGAGACACUUUUACAUAGUCAGCCAUGAAAUAGGCUACACCAGCCUUGAACGAAUGAGGAUUGUUUGUGUUAUUUCUCAAAUGACCAGAACAAUUCUUCGUUUUGUGUUGCGGUUUUGGUAAACCACAUAAUAACGUAAUGACAGAUAAUUAUAAGAGCAUCUGAGAAACUUCUGACUGUAUUGUCGAAGUUCAGGGUGUAAUAAUGUCACAUUUUUUUGAAAAAAUGUUUUUCUUCAUGCGUACACAAUUGUGAUUUUAAUAAGAGAAAAAAAAAACAAGCCUUACAUUUUAAGCUGUAACCGUAGUCAGGGAGUUGUAGAAGAGACGUGCUUUGAUUCGCGCCGUUGCGUCGCUCUGCAAUUAACCAUAAAUUAUAACCUUUCUAAAAAUUUAAAGGGGAAAAUUUAAUUCUUAUAGUUGAUUCGCAAACUGGCAGGUGUACAUUUGUGAAAGAAAAUCGAUUCAAUAAUAGUAUUUCAAAUAAACUGAAAAUUGGUGAACGGUGACCAUUUGCAAUGUAUACAACACAAGCUCAUUACAUAAUUUAAAUUGUUGCGUAAGUAUCACGUUCCCUUUUCAUCUGUCGAGAUGAAACUCCUGUAGAAAUUCAAGUUUUAAAGAUAAUAAAACAUCCCUAUUUUCCGUACCAAAAAAUAUUUAGAUUUAGCACUUACAAAUAUAGCAAACAAUCUCAUCUAAAUUAAUAAUGUCCUUUACACAUUUUAAAAAAAAAAAAAUGUGGGAAGAAAGGGGUUUAGACCGUUUUCGCUCGAAUUACAGCCUGGAAAGUUCCGGGGAAAGGCUGUCCAUACUAUCAAGCCUGUCCUGAACUAUUGAUAUAAUCAUUAUUUCGAUAUAAUACUAAAUGUUUUAUAGUUAAAUGCUCGAAUAUUGUAAUCUAUAUAAUUGUCGGUUAGUUUAAACUGUAUUAAAUAUUCUUACAGAUUACAUUCAGGGUGACUGAUUUUAGCAGGGCUCCGUUUUUGAAGGUGCAUGAUUAAAAUGUUGUUGCCUAAAAUAGAGCAAAGAAACAUCCUGAAAAUUAAAUCAGAUUCAUAAAGCAAUUUAUAGAGUUCCAGCAGCAGAGAGGCGCAUGUCUGAUGCCGACUCGUACAUAAGAGCGCAGGUGGACCACGUGAGCCGCUUUCCGCGCGCGCGCUGCCUCGACACGACACGUGUGCGCAACGAGAAAGGAGCUCGAUUUGUCCCCGGGGUCCUUAUGGGGGGUCUGUAACAGCACAUGCGAGCUGCGCACAAGACUGCUCAUCUUUAAGCUCAUUACAGAAGUAGAUUUUUUUUUUUUUUUUUUUUUUAAAUUCAAAGUUGACUUUGAGCGGGAAACGAGCCGUCCUGCAGGCAGCGCUCGCGACAGAGGACGCCGCUGGAGAUCGAGGGGCAGAAACUCACCGCCACGGAGCCGGACACCAAAAGACACUCCAGAUCCAGACUUGCGGGGACACGCGUGGGCCCAGUUCAGUUCUAUGCUGGUGGACAUCAGUACCGGUCACGUCAUGUCAGUGCUUCCUGACAUCUUCGACGGCUUCGCGCGCCCGCGGAGUGCCUCGCGAGGCAUGGCUGGCGGUCGUCUCAAAGAGGUCCGUGGAGACCCUGGACACCAACAUAUGUGUACGGUGAUCCGCUUCAGCCGCGCUGGAAGGAGGAGCGACCUGCAACCGGAAGCGAGGACGAGCACGAGCACACCUGUGCCGGACGUCCCUGGCACGAGCCGGCGCUCCAGCGUGCGGCACCCGUCGCUCCACGGGGGACCGGUUCGUGGAGAGGUGUGACACCGCUCAAGCAGACAAACGUGGAGCUGGUGAACAGCGGCGGCGUCCCCGGGCUCCUCGUGAACGCGCGUCCUGCACGAGGACAGUCGAGUGGCGCGUGCUGGAGAGAUAAUACUCCAGACAGAUCACAUUUUACCUCCUCAGAGCAAGCACGGUAAAGUACUUGGAAAGCAAUGAAGCACAGAAAACGCACACGGAGAAUACUGGUUUAGGGUUACAGGAACCUAAGUAAACGCAAGUGAGACUUUUCCCCCCAUUUGAAAGUCAGUCACGAGAUUUUUAAAAAUAAUUCACCUAGAGUUUGUCUACAGAUACUUCAUCGCAAUUAUCAAUGACUUGCGUUUAAACAUGUCCCUGUAUAACCUGCACUUAUUCAUGUAGUUAAGCAAGAGAGGAGGGGGGGGUCAUUUGUUCAUCAGGGACUUCGAAGCAAUGGUAUAAUCGUAAGGUAGCAGGAACAUAAAACAUUUAAAAAUGAAAAUGAGUCCAUAGUGAAAACACAAAAACAAAUUUAUUAGGACAUAAGACAUGAAGCAGUACAAAUACAGUCUUAAAAGGUAAAUUCUUAGAUAGAAAAACAUACAUUUUAAGAUUAUAUGCAGCUCAGGUUAAAAAAAAAAAAGUAAAAUUAAGCACUGCAGUAUAGACACAAGCAAUAGAUAAUCAAUUAUGAGUCCAGUGAUUAGAAAAAUGAAUGAUGCUCCUGACAACGCACACUAAUUGGUGCGGUUCCUGCACACGGUGAAUAUAAAAAGCGAGCAGCAGAAAUGCAUAUACCUCAAACAGUACAGAGUACCAGAGUAAUUUCACUCCCCUUCGCUGAUGCUUAUGACGCACACAACUCCUCAUCACGGGGUCAGCAGCUCCAUGCUGAGAUGACGACGAUGACGGUAACAGGGCAGCGCACGACAGCCAUGAGGCAGUAAGCCGGUGGACGGGAACGGCCAGGCUUCACUUCAGCAGCACGAUCAAUACUGGAGGAAUCAGAAGUGGUUUAACUCCAAUAUUUACGUGCUGCUAGAGCAAGGCGGCCAAACGUGGAGGGCGACUAGCCUGUACCUGGCCUCACGCUGGUGGUCCUGGUCCUCUUUACAAACUAUUUGACAGUUUUUUUUCCAUCAUCCCCCACCCCCAUUUUAUUUUCCGCCUGCCCAGGCGUAACUGCCGCAGCACAGCACGGCCUGCAUCCCCGUGUAACCCACAAACCAUUCUGUGCUGCUACAGCACCACCAGGCCUGCCCCACAUCCCCCUCCCUUUCCUCUCGAGCAGCGUUCUCUCUCUCUCUCUCCGAGAGACAGACACACACACACACACACACACACACACACACAC